Molecule: ribosomal RNA, 441 nt
Filed under: uncultured bacterium
Lineage: Bacteria
Description: partial 16S ribosomal RNA
Rfam family: Bacterial small subunit ribosomal RNA
Source: RNAcentral
CCUACGGGAGGCAGCAGUGGGGAAUAUUGCACAAUGGGCGAAAGCCUGAUGCAGCAACGCCGCGUGAAGGAAGAAGGCCUUCGGGUCGUAAACUUCUGUCCUUGGGGAAGAAGAACUGACGGUACCCAAGGAGGAAGCCCCGGCUAACUACGUGCCAGCAGCCGCGGUAAUAGGUAGGGGGCAAGCGUUAUCCGGAAUUAUUGGGCGUAAGGAGUACGUAGGUGGCAACCUAAGCCCAGGGGUUAAGGCAAGGGCUAAACCAUUGUUCGCCCUGCAAACUGGGAUGCUUGAGUGCAGGAGAGGAAAGCGGAAUUCGUGGUGUAGCGGUGAAAUGCGUAGAUAUUAGGAGGAACACCAGUGGCGAAGGCAGCUUUCUGGACUGUAACUGACACUGAGGUACGAAAGCGUGGGGAGCAAACAGGAUUAGAUACCCCAGUAGUC